GAUGAACGCUAGCGGCAGGCCUAACACAUGCAAGUCGAGGGGUAACAUAGAAAAGCUUGCUUUUCUGAUGACGACCGGCGCACGGGUGCGUAACGCGUAUACAACCUACCUUUUAGCGGGGAAUAGCCCAGGGAAACUUGGAUUAAUGCCUCAUAGUAUAUAAGCUUCUCCUGAAGUUUAUAUUAAACAUUUAUGGCUAUUAGAUGGGUAUGCGUCCUAUUAGUUAGUUGGUAAGGUGACGGCUUACCAAGGCAGCGAUAGGUAGGGGUCCUGAGAGGGAGAUCCCCACACUGGUACUGAGCCACGGACCAGACUCCUACGGGAGGCAGCAGUGAGGAAUAUUGGACAAUGGGCGAGAGCCUGAUCCAGCCAUGCCGCGUGCAGGAAGACUGCCCUAUGGGUUGUAAACUGCUUUUACAGAGGAAGAACCACCCCCACGUGUGGGGGUUUGACGGUACUCUGCGAAUAAGGAUCGGCUAACUCCGUG
This 487-nucleotide ribosomal RNA is filed under the name uncultured bacterium. Its description in RNAcentral is "bacterial SSU rRNA". It matches the Rfam family "Bacterial small subunit ribosomal RNA", at positions 28 to 507 of the family's 1533-position model. The record is from RNAcentral.